RNAcentral lists this ribosomal RNA (492 nucleotides) under uncultured bacterium. Its description in RNAcentral is "bacterial SSU rRNA". It matches the Rfam family "Bacterial small subunit ribosomal RNA", at positions 29 to 509 of the family's 1533-position model. The record is from RNAcentral.
AGUGAACGCUGGCGGCAGGCCUAAUACAUGCAAGUCGAACGGCAGCACAGCAGAGCUUGCUCUGUGGGUGGCGAGUGGCGGACGGGUGAGGAAUACAUGGGAAUCUGCCCAGUCGUGGGGGAUAACGUAUGGAAACGUACGCUAAUACCGCAUGCGCCCUACGGGGGGAAGCCGGGGACCGCAAGGCCUGGCGCGAUUGGAUGAGCCCAUGUUCGAUUAGCUAGUUGGCGGGGUAAAGGCCCACCAAGGCGACGAUCGAUAGCUGGUCUGAGAGGAUGAUCAGCCACACUGGAACUGAGACACGGUCCAGACUCCUACGGGAGGCAGCAGUAGGGGAAUAUUGGACAAUGGGGGCAACCCUGAUCCAGCCAUGCCGCGUGAGUGAAGAAGGCCCUCGGGUUGUAAAGCUCUUUUGUCCGGAAGAAAAGCAAUCGGUUAAUACCCGGUUGUUCUGACGGUACCGGAAGAAUAAGCACCGGCUAACUUCGUGCC